This 497-nucleotide ribosomal RNA is filed under the name uncultured bacterium. RNAcentral's name for it is "partial 16S ribosomal RNA". It matches the Rfam family "Bacterial small subunit ribosomal RNA", at positions 28 to 507 of the family's 1533-position model. The record is from RNAcentral.
GAUGAACGCUGGCGGCGUGCCUAAUACAUGCAAGUCGAGCGAACAGACGAGGAGCUUGCUCCUCUGACCUUAGCGGCGGACGGGUGAGUAACACGUGGAUAACCUACCUAUAAGACUGGGAUAACUUCGGGAAACCGGAGCUAAUACCGGAUAAUAUAUUGAACCGCAUGGUUCAAUAGUGAAAGACGGUUUUGCUGUCACUUAUAGAUGGAUCCGCGCCGCAUUAGCUAGUUGGUAAGGUAACGGCUUACCAAGGCAACGAUGCGUAGCCGACCUGAGAGGGUGAUCGGCCACACUGGAACUGAGACACGGUCCAGACUCCUACGGGAGGCAGCAGUAGGGAAUCUUCCGCAAUGGGCGAAAGCCUGACGGAGCAACGCCGCGUGAGUGAUGAAGGUCUUCGGAUCGUAAAACUCUGUUAUUAGGGAAGAACAAAUGUGUAAGUAACUAUGCACGUCGUGACGGUACCUAAUCAGAAAGCCACGGCUAACUACGUG